AGAGUAGUGAUGCUGGCAAUUCAGAUCUGCCAAAGAGAAGCCAUCAAGUUCUUAUUUUAACUGAAAAGGGGAAAGUUCUCUACUUAAGAAAGAAAAAAAAUAUGCUGCGUUUGCCAAGAUCUACAUCGCUGCUGUUUCACCAAUUAAUGAAGCAAAUAAGUUAUUAUCUGACUGACUACAGGCAGAGAAUCUCGGCAGUUAUUGACCACUGUGCCCUACGAGAUGACAACGGCCUCUGUGUUAUUAGAGAAAAUUAGAGGCAAUUGUCUCAAUCAAGAUUGAACUUGGUCUCAAGUGUCCUGAAUCCAGUGAUUAUCUAAUCUGUGAUACAAAGACUAACUACCUUGCCUCCAUUUUGAGAAACCCGGAAGUGCUGCUAUUUUAGUUCCAGAGCUUCUCACAGGAAGGCUUAAGAUCUAAGAAGUUGAGCCACCUCAGCCUGGUUCAGAAGCCUUGCUGGAAAGAUGAUUGCUGGAGAGGUGAUGCAAUCAUUUGGAAAAUAGAAG
Homo sapiens (human) is the source of this 506-nucleotide long non-coding RNA. RefSeq lists it as uncharacterized. The record is from RefSeq and is a predicted model, not a curated record. The transcript is spliced from 4 exons. Lineage: Eukaryota; Metazoa; Chordata; Mammalia; Primates; Hominidae.